GAUGAACGCUAGCGGCAGGCCUAACACAUGCAAGUCGAGGGAGGAGCCUUCGGGCUUCGACCGGCGUACGGGUGCGUAACGCGUAUACAAUCUGCCUUUCACAUAGGGAUAGCCCGAAGAAAUUUGGAUUAAUACCUAAUGGUAUAUAGAUGUGGCAUCACCUUUAUAUUAAAGCUGAGGCGGUGAAAGAUGAGUAUGCGUUCUAUUAGCUAGUUGGAGAGGUAACGGCUCCCCAAGGCGACGAUAGAUAGGGGUUCUGAGAGGGAUAUCCACCACACUGGUACUGAGAUACGGACCAGACUCCUACGGGAGGCAGCAGUGAGGAAUAUUGGACAAUGGUCGGAAGACUGAUCCAGCCAUGCCGCGUGCAGGAAGACGGCCUUAGGGGUUGUAAACUGCUUUUGCAGGGGAAGAAUAAGGACUACGCGUAGUUUGAUGACGGUACUCUGCGAAUAAGCAUCGGCUAACUCCGUG
Molecule: ribosomal RNA, 474 nt
Filed under: uncultured bacterium
Lineage: Bacteria
Description: partial 16S ribosomal RNA
Rfam family: Bacterial small subunit ribosomal RNA
Source: RNAcentral